AGCGAACGCUGGCGGUAGGCCUAACACAUGCAAGUCGAACGGCAGCACAGUAAGAGCGUGCUCUUACGGGUGGCGAGUGGCGGACGGGUGAGGAAUACAUCGUAAUCUACUUUUUCGUGGGGGUUAACGUAGGGAAACCUACGCUAAGACCGCAUACGACCUACGGGUGAAAGCAGGGGAUCUUCGGACCUUGCGCGGUUGAAUGAGCCGAUGUCGGAUUAGCUAGUUGGCGGGGUAAUGGCCCACCAAGGCGACGAUCCGUAGCUGGUGUGAGAGGAUGGUAGGCGGCACUGGAAGUGGGCCACGGUCCUGACUCCUGAGGGAGGGAGCAGUGGGCAAUGUGGGACAACAGGCGCGAGCAUGAUCCAGCGAUCCCGAGUGGGUGAAGACGGCCUUCGGGUUGUAAAGACCGUCUGUUGGGAAGGAAAAGCAGCCGGUUAAUACCACGCUGUUCUGACGGUAACCAAAGAAUAAGCACCGGCUAACUUCGUG
RNAcentral lists this ribosomal RNA (492 nucleotides) under uncultured bacterium. RNAcentral describes it as "partial 16S ribosomal RNA". It matches the Rfam family "Bacterial small subunit ribosomal RNA", at positions 29 to 507 of the family's 1533-position model. The record is from RNAcentral.